This is a long non-coding RNA of Lycium ferocissimum, 1147 nucleotides long. RefSeq lists it as uncharacterized. NCBI's taxonomy places the organism in Eukaryota, Viridiplantae, Streptophyta, Magnoliopsida, Solanales, Solanaceae. The record is from RefSeq and is a predicted model, not a curated record. The transcript has 2 exons.
UUGAAAGGAUUUCAAGACAAACCCUAGCCGUCAACCUUCAUUCCUCUCUUGUUCAUCAGCACGACUGAGAAUAGCAAAAUUGCAGGCGAAUGACUUUAUCACAGUCAUGCUCGUCCAUUUGGGGUAAGAGCAUUAAUUGAUCUUACCCUCUCUCCGUCGAUACACCACCACAGAAGAGGUAAAACCCUUCUCUCCUCUACCUUUUUAUUUUCUUCACAAGUAAGGACAAAAUCUUAAUUAUUUUUGUCAUUUUGUUCUUCAUUUCAACGAUUUCUAUUGGUUUUCAAUGAAUCACAAGGAUUCACAAAAUUUUUGCAAUAAACCACAAGCCCCACAACGGAUGGGAACCAAUUUUUGGGGUUCUAUAUAAAGAACCCCAUAUCCCACUGUUUACACCCACCUUACAAGUCUCAAAAAUUCAAAAAAAUAUACAAGUCUUUUCAAAUAGAGCAAACAAUAUCCAAUUUAAUUUGGGUUUCAGCUUUAGCUAAUCAGUAUUUUAGUCUAAAAAAUUGUUUCUUUUUGUGGCUGAGUCUCGGGGUUGAGGAGUGCAAGGAUCUCCAAUUUCAUUCUCGACCAAGGCUGCACAAAGAAAAGGUUCAGGUAGACAGAGAGACAAUGCAGCUCAGUAGGACUUCCCCUUAGCUGUUUGGUGCGCUCCACUUGAUCCGGAGCUGCGGUCCAUUUUGGGUAGGCUAUUUUAAGAUGUAUAUACACCUAUAUGGGUAUGGCGGGGCCUUGUCCCGUCCUUUCUACUGCUUUCUGUUCCAUUAGAGGUCUGUAGACAGUUGUAUGUAGUUGGUACAUGAUGUAGCCUUGUCGGCUCUUAUUCUUUUGCGUACAACAUAUAUAGCAGCCUAGUCGGCUUGCACUGUUACUUCGGUAUUUUGCAUAUAUAUAUAUAUAUAUAUAUAUAUAUAUAUAUACAGUUGGAUAUGAGUCAGAUAUGGGCCACCCUGUUGUUAUGUGAUAGUUAAGCAAGUGCAGGGGUGUCUGGUCAUUAGGGGUCAGGCACUAGUCAUGACUCAUCGGCUUGGGUCGUGACAGUUAUGAAGUAAAAUGUCCUUAAGAGUAAGUUAAGUCUCUAAACAAGUUGGGAGAUGGUUCUAUUACACUCAUUUGGAAAGAAAAGUGUGUGUUUAUCUUU